UGAACCGUGAUGAGAGGAUAAAAGUAGCCAGGGGAAGUGAAACCGAGAGAACCGGCGGCAGGUGCAAGCAGGUCACGCUCCCUUUUGUGAAAUACGCCCUUGAACGGUUUUUUUAGAGGAGAAGGAAUGGUGAUUCCUUAAUAAGGGUGGUACCGCGGAGAAAUGCUUCGUCCCUUGC
Molecule: small RNA, 178 nt
Filed under: [Clostridium] ultunense Esp
Lineage: Bacteria; Bacillati; Bacillota; Tissierellia; Tissierellales; Tepidimicrobiaceae
Description: T-box
Source: RNAcentral